RNAcentral lists this long non-coding RNA (449 nucleotides) under Physcomitrium patens. RNAcentral's name for it is "long non-coding RNA (PPAT_LNC005477)". The record is from RNAcentral. Lineage: Eukaryota; Viridiplantae; Streptophyta; Bryopsida; Funariales; Funariaceae.
UUGUUGGGUAGGAGUAUUUGAGAGGGGGCUCAUUAGAAUUUUGAGACGAUAAGUUUUAAGACUGAUUUGGAUUUUUUUUAUGCCACUUAUUAAAUUUUUAUCAUUUUAUAUUAAAAUUUGAGAGACUAAUUAGAUCUCAUUGUUAGCUUUUCAACAAGUCUUAGCAUAAAAAAAAAGAGAUAUGAUGAAAGCAAUCCAUGCAAGUUUAUAGGAGGGGAAUCAGUGGAGUUUUUGAUGCAAUAUGAUUCAAGAUCAACUCAAGGUUUUUUAACCCAUUUCUUAUAUUUUUUUUAUUUGAAAUUUUAAAAAAAAAACUAUAUCUUAUUGUUAAGCUAACAAUAAGUAUUAGUACACAAAAAAAAGAACUAAGAUGAGGAAGAUCUAAGUUAAUUUAUAGAUGAGGAUUUUGAAGAUAGUAACUACAAUAAGUAAUCAAUUUUUUCUCUUUG